This 473-nucleotide ribosomal RNA is filed under the name uncultured bacterium. RNAcentral's name for it is "bacterial SSU rRNA". It matches the Rfam family "Bacterial small subunit ribosomal RNA", at positions 28 to 507 of the family's 1533-position model. The record is from RNAcentral.
GAUGAACGCUGGCGGCGUGCCUAACACAUGCAAGUCGACGGGGUUGAGGCGAGAGGUAACUCGAGCUUCUACCUAGCGGCGGACGGGUGAGUAACGCUGGGCAACCUGCCUCAAGGUUUGGGAUAACAGCCCGAAAGGGCUGCUAAUACCGGAUAUGCCUAUGGCCUCGCAUGGGGCUAUGAGCAAAGGGGAAACCCGCCUUGAGAUGGGCCCGCGUCCCAUCAGCUAGUUGGUGAGGUAACAGCUCACCAAGGCGACGACGGGUAGCCGGCCUGAGAGGGUGACCGGCCACACUGGGACUGAGACACGGCCCAGACUCCUACGGGGGGCAGCAGUGGGGGAUCUUGCACAAUGGGCGAAAGCCUGAUGCAGCGACGCCGCGUGAGCGAAGAAGGCCUUCGGGUUGUAAAGCUCUGUCUGGAGGGACGAACAAAAUGACGGUACCUCCGGAGGAAGCCACGGCUAACUACGUG